Molecule: ribosomal RNA, 323 nt
Filed under: uncultured eukaryote
Lineage: Eukaryota
Description: partial 18S ribosomal RNA
Rfam family: Eukaryotic small subunit ribosomal RNA
Source: RNAcentral
CCCUUAGAUGUUCUGGGCGGCCCGCGCACUACAUUGGCACUCUCAAUAAGUUCCUAGAUCUAAAACUUUGGGGUAUUCUAUUAAGUGGUGUCGUGACUGGGAUUAACCCUUGCAAUUAUUGGUUACGAACGAGGAAUACCUUGUAAGCGCGGGUCAUCAUCCCGCGCUGAAUACGUCCCUGCCCUUUGUACACACCGCCCGUCGCUCCUACCGAUUGAGUGGUCCGGUGAGGCUUUGGGAUCUGAGCGGAAAGAGCGUUUCGCUGUUUCUGCUCGGAAAACUCAGUCGAACCUUAUCAUUUAGAGGAAGGAGAAGUCGUAACA